MicroRNA precursor from Oryza sativa Japonica Group (Japanese rice), 212 nucleotides. It matches the Rfam family "MIR812 microRNA precursor family". The record is from Rfam. Lineage: Eukaryota; Viridiplantae; Streptophyta; Magnoliopsida; Poales; Poaceae.
AAUAAGUGUAGUUUUGCACUAUUCAUGUUCACCGGGUUUGACCGUCCGUCUUAUUUGAAAAUUUUUUAUGAUUAAUAUUUUUAUUGCUAUUAGAUGAUAAAAUAUGAAUAGUACUUUAGUGUGUGACUGUAUGUUUUUAAUUUUUUCACAAAUUUUUCAAAUAAGACGGACGGUCAAACGUUGAACGUGAAUAGUGCAAAACUGCACUUAUU